RNAcentral lists this ribosomal RNA (505 nucleotides) under uncultured bacterium. Its description in RNAcentral is "partial 16S ribosomal RNA". It matches the Rfam family "Bacterial small subunit ribosomal RNA", at positions 28 to 507 of the family's 1533-position model. The record is from RNAcentral.
GACGAACGCUGGCGGCGUGCCUAAUACAUGCAAGUAGAACGCACAGUUUAUACCGUAGCUUGCUACACCAUAGACUGUGAGUUGCGAACGGGUGAGUAACGCGUAGGUAACCUGCCUGGUAGCGGGGGAUAACUAUUGGAAACGAUAGCUAAUACCGCAUAAUAUUAAUUAUUGCAUGAUAAUUAAUUGAAAGGUGCAAUUGCACCACUACCAGAUGGACCUGCGUUGUAUUAGCUAGUAGGUGAGGUAACGGCUCACCUAGGCGACGAUACAUAGCCGACCUGAGGGGGUGAUCGGCCGCACUGGGACUGAGACACGGCCCAGACUCCUACGGGAGGCAGCAGUAGGGAAUCUUCGGCAAUGGACGAAAGUCUGACCGAGCAACGCCGCGUGAGUGAAGAAGGUUUUCGGAUCGUAAAGCUCUGUUGUAAGAGAAGAACGGGUGUGAGAGUGGAAAGUUCACACUGUGACGGUAUCUUACCAGAAAGGGACGGCUAACUACGUG